RNAcentral lists this ribosomal RNA (492 nucleotides) under uncultured soil bacterium. RNAcentral describes it as "bacterial SSU rRNA". It matches the Rfam family "Bacterial small subunit ribosomal RNA", at positions 8 to 495 of the family's 1533-position model. The record is from RNAcentral.
AGAGUUUGAUCCUGGCUCAGAAUGAACGCUGGCGGCGCGCCUAAUACAUGCAAGUCGAGCGAGAAGACGUAGCAAUACGUUUGUAAAGCGGCGAACGGGUGAGGAAUACAUGGGUAACCUACCCUCGAGUGGGGAAUAACUAGCCGAAAGGUUAGCUAAUACCGCGUACGCUCCUUGGACUUCGGUUCAGGGAGGAAAGCGAUACCGAGGGUAUCGCGCUCUUGGAUGGGCUCAUGUCCUAUCAGCUUGUUGGUGAGGUAACGGCUCACCAAGGCUUCGACGGGUAGCUGGUCUGAGAGGACGAUCAGCCACACUGGCACUGCGACACGGGCCAGACUCCUACGGGAGGCAGCAGUAAGGAAUAUUGCGCAAUGGGCGAAAGCCUGACGCAGCGACGCCGCGUGGGGGAUGAAGGUCUUCGGAUUGUAAACCCCUUUCGGGAGGGAAGAUGGAACGAGCAAUCGUUCGGACGUACCUCCAGAAGCAGCCCCU